AUCGGUGCCAUUGUAGUUGCUUCUGUGACUCGACCGGUGCUGAAAAGACGACCAAGCUUGAUCAUUUAGAGGAAGUAAAAGUCGUAACAAGGUUUCCGUAGGUGAACCUGCGGAAGGAUCAUUACUCGACGCUAACCUAACGAGCUCAGCUAGUGGCUGAGUCACCAAAACGAGCCGUCAUGCUCGUAAAAUUGAUCAUUUUGCCUAUACCUGGUGGAGUGUCCAUCUCCGUAUAGAGCCCGAAUAUGGCAGGGUGCCUCCCCGUCAAAUACUUGCUGGCAUACUCUCGGUCUUCGGACUGUCAGUCCCUGUCGGGGGUGACGGGAUGUACUGUCGUUCGCGGCAGUGCUAGGCUCAAAGAGUGGUGAAUAUCAAGAGCUACGGCUCGGCCACCGCCCUGUCUUGUUUCCAACCAUUUUACAAAACAUGGGUGAUUCUUGCUGGUGCAAACCGGCUUGGAUCGAUGCUCAUUAAUGCGCCUGGUGCAAACUGGGUUGCAUUGCGGUCUUCCAGAGUUGCCUUGACCUGGUUGACUGUGAAUUGACUCGUUCAUCUGGAUAACCAGUGUUCGAGCCAAGUACAACUCUGAGCGGUGGAUCACUCGGCUCGUGUGUCGAUGAAGAGCGCAGCCAACUGUGUGAAUUAAUGCGAACUGCAUACUGCUUUGAACAUCGACAUCUUGAACGCAUAUUGCGGCCAUGGGUUAGCCUGUGGCCACGCCUGUCCGAGGGUCGGCUUAUAAACUAUCACGACGCCCAAAAAGUCGUGGCUUGGGUUUUGCCAGCUGGUUUGAUCCCCAAAGGUUUGGCUGUUUAGCUUCUCCGGGGUGUACUAGAUCUAUGGCUUUGCCCUAAUGUAUCCGGACAACCGCAUCAUGCCAUUGGCUUGGAUGAGGAUGUGGCGACGGAGUCGUGGCUCAGUAUAUCUAAGCGCGCUCUGCAUCGUGGUUCUUUCCUUGCUAUGACAUGCUAUGCCGCUCUUUUUGUCCGAAGACCCAUGAGGUUUGCUCAAUAUGGGGGAUGAGGAUAUGGCGACAGAGUUUUGGCUGAGUUUCCAUACUAACGCUGACUCUGCAUCGUGGUUCUCAUCUUUCUAUAGUGGAGCGUAUAUUUCCUGACCUCGGAUCAGACGUGAUUACCCGCUGAACUUAAGCAUAUCACUAAGCGGAGGAAAAGAAACUAACAAGGAUUCCCUUAGUAACGGCGAGUGAACAGGGAUGAGCCCAGCACCGAAGCCUGUGGUCAUUUGGCCAUUGGGCAAUGUGGUGUUCAGGUUGUUCCGCAGAGGCACUGCUCCACCCCAAGUCCAGCAAUGAGUACGGUAUUCUGGACCCGGCCCAUAGAGGGUGAAAGGCCCGUUAGGGUGGAGUGUCGACUGGCCAGUGUCUCUCUGGAUAGACCUUGGAGUCGGGUUGUUUGUGAAUGCAGCCCAAAGCGGGUGGUAAACUCCAUCCAAGGCUAAAUACAAACACGAGUCCGAUAGCGAACAAGUACCGUGAGGGAAAGUUGAAAAGUACUUUGAAGAGAGAGUAAACAGUGCGUGAAACCGCUCAGAGGUAAGCAGGUGGAGUUGAACUGCAAGCUGUGAGAAUUCAGCUGGUGAGUGUGGUUUGAGCUUGGUCAAAUUGGUUGGGCCCCAAGGUAUGCUUAUCUGCAUGUCCUUCCUUCGGGUUGGGUGCGCGAGGCACUUAUCAAGUGUUGCGCGCCUUGGGCGUCUUUCGAGCCUACUUGCCAGUGCACUUUCUCAUGGUAUUCAUCACGACCGGCGCUGCCGUCGGGCUGUUGUAGUUAAACCGGUUUUGUAAGGUCCUUGUGGCUUUGCUUGAUCGGGAUGGCAGGUAGCCUGUUUGCUUGCUUCGGCUUGCUUUCAGGUGUAAUCAGCUGACUGCAAUGGUUCUGUGCGGUGUGUCGGAGACGGCGGCUUGUGGUGUGUGCAUGCGUGCCUUAUCUGCUGGCGGAUCUCGGUCUGGUCACUAUGUUGCUUGUUCAAGCAGGCCUAGUGAUGGCUGGGGUUCGUCUGGUGGGUGGUUGCGUGUGCUUCACUGUCCAGGGCCAACAGUCUGUGAUGUAGUGGUAGACUAUCCACCUGACCCGUCUUGAAACACGGACCAAGGAGAGUAACAUGUGCGCGAGUCAUUGGGCGUAACGAAACCCAAAGGCGCAGUGAAAGUGAAAGUUUGACUCGUUCAGACUUAGGUGAGAUCCUGUCGUUUCUCACGCAUGGUACUACCAAGCAUCGAGCGGCAGGCGCAUCACCGGCCCGUCCCAUGACGUGGACAUAGUCUUCGGAUUGUGCAUCGUCGGGGCGGAGCAUGAGCGUACAUGUUGAGACCCGAAAGAUGGUGAACUAUGCUUGCGCAGGUUGAAGCCAGAGGAAACUCUGGUGGAGGACCGCAGCGAUUCUGACGUGCAAAUCGAUCGUCAAACGUGAGUAUAGGGGCG
RNAcentral lists this ribosomal RNA (2441 nucleotides) under Polylekithum ictaluri. RNAcentral's name for it is "eukaryotic LSU rRNA". The stretch from base 1115 to 2441 matches the Rfam family "Eukaryotic large subunit ribosomal RNA", at positions 1 to 925 of the family's 3401-position model. Lineage: Eukaryota; Metazoa; Platyhelminthes; Trematoda; Plagiorchiida; Allocreadiidae. The record is from RNAcentral.